AGGGGUAUAGCUCAGUGGCAGGGCACUGUGCUUAGCAUGCACAAGGUCCUGGAUUUAAUCCCCAGGACCUCCA
Molecule: transfer RNA, 73 nt
Filed under: Camelus bactrianus (Bactrian camel)
Lineage: Eukaryota; Metazoa; Chordata; Mammalia; Artiodactyla; Camelidae
Also listed under: 1 other name
Rfam family: tRNA
About the family: Transfer RNA (tRNA) molecules are approximately 80 nucleotides in length.
Source: Rfam by way of RNAcentral